Molecule: ribosomal RNA, 460 nt
Filed under: uncultured bacterium
Lineage: Bacteria
Description: partial 16S ribosomal RNA
Rfam family: Bacterial small subunit ribosomal RNA
Source: RNAcentral
CCUACGGGUGGCAGCAGUGAGGAAUAUUGGUCAAUGGUCGUGAGACUGAACCAGCCAAGUAGCGUGCAGGAUGACUGCCCUAUGGGUUGUAAACUUCUUUUAUAUGGGGAUAAAAUACGUUAUGCGUACUCUCUUGUAUGUACCGCAUGAAUAAGGAUCGGCUAAUUCCGUGCCAGCAGCCGCGGUAAUACGGAGGGUCCGGGCGUUAUCCGGAUUUAUUGGGUUUAAAGGGAGCGUAGGCGGAAUGUUAAGUCUGCUGUGAAAUUCUGCGGCUCAACCGUGACACUGCAGUGGAAACUGGCAGGCUUGAGUGCGCGAGAGGUAGGCGGAAUUCGUGGUGUAGCGGUGAAAUGCUUAGAUAUCACGAAGAACUCCGAUUGCGAAGGCAGCUCACGGGAGUGCAACUGACGCUGAGGCUCGAAAGUGCGGGUAUCGAACAGGAUUAGAUACCCCAGUAGUC